GAUGAACGCUGGCGGCGUGCCUAAUACAUGCAAGUCGAGCGAACGGACGAGAAGCUUGCUUCUCUGAUGUUAGCGGCGGACGGGUGAGUAACACGUGGAUAACCUACCUAUAAGACUGGGAUAACUUCGGGAAACCGGAGCUAAUACCGGAUGAUAUUUUGAACCGCAUGGUUCAAAAGUGAAAGACGGUCUUGCUGUCACUUAUAGAUGGAUCCGCGCUGCAUUAGCUAGUUGGUAAGGUAACGGCUUACCAAGGCAACGAUGCAUAGCCGACCUGAGAGGGUGAUCGGCCACACUGGAACUGAGACACGGUCCAGACUCCUACGGGAGGCAGCAGUAGGGAAUCUUCCGCAAUGGGCGAAAGCCUGACGGAGCAACGCCGCGUGAGUGAUGAAGGUCUUCGGAUCGUAAAACUCUGUUAUUAGGGAAGAACAUAUGUGUAAGUAACUGUGCACAUCUUGACGGUACCUAAUCAGAAAGCCACGGCUAACUACGUGCCAGCAGCCGCGGUAAUACGUAGGUGGCAAGCGUUAUCCGGAAUUAUUGGGCGUAAAGCGCGCGUAGGCGGUUUUUUAAGUCUGAUGUGAAAGCCCACGGCUCAACCGUGGAGGGUCAUUGGAAACUGGAAAACUUGAGUGCAGAAGAGGAAAGUGGAAUUCCAUGUGUAGCGGUGAAAUGCGCAGAGAUAUGGAGGAACACCAGUGGCGAAGGUGACUUUCUGGUCUGUAACUGACGCUGAUGUGCGAAAGCGUGGGGAUCAAACAGGAUUAGAUACCCUGGUAGUCCACGCCGUAAACGAUGAGUGCUAAGUGUUAGGGGGUUUCCGCCCCUUAGUGCUGCAGCUAACGCAUUAAGCACUCCGCCUGGGGAGUACGACCGCAAGGUUGAAACUCAAAGGAAUUGACGGGGACCCGCACAAGCGGUGGAGCAUGUGGUUUAAUUCGAAGCAACGCGAAGAACCUUACCAAAUCUUGACAUCCUUUGACAACUCUAGAGAUAGAGCCUUCCCCUUCGGGGGACAAAGUGACAGGUGGUGCAUGGUUGUCGUCAGCUCGUGUCGUGAGAUGUUGGGUUAAGUCCCGCAACGAGCGCAACCCUUAAGCUUAGUUGCCAUCAUUAAGUUGGGCACUCUAAGUUGACUGCCGGUGACAAACCGGAGGAAGGUGGGGAUGACGUCAAAUCAUCAUGCCCCUUAUGAUUUGGGCUACACACGUGCUACAAUGGACAAUACAAAGGGCAGCGAAACCGCGAGGUCAAGCAAAUCCCAUAAAGUUGUUCUCAGUUCGGAUUGUAGUCUGCAACUCGACUACAUGAAGCUGGAAUCGCUAGUAAUCGUAGAUCAGCAUGCUACGGUGAAUACGUUCCCGGGUCU
RNAcentral lists this ribosomal RNA (1372 nucleotides) under uncultured bacterium. RNAcentral's name for it is "16S ribosomal RNA". It matches the Rfam family "Bacterial small subunit ribosomal RNA", at positions 28 to 1381 of the family's 1533-position model. The record is from RNAcentral.